Molecule: non-coding RNA, 157 nt
Filed under: uncultured Catenibacillus sp.
Lineage: Bacteria; Bacillati; Bacillota; Clostridia; Lachnospirales; Lachnospiraceae
Source: RNAcentral
AUAUAUAGGUUCAUUUCAAGAUGAUUAAAAGGGAAUACAGUGUGAUUCUGUAACAGCCCUCGCUACUGUAAGAAGGACGUCUGUCCAUUGGACACUGGGAAACCGGGAAGUCGGACAAGAUGGUUGAGUUCAAGUCAGGAGACCUGCCAUAUAUGAU